RNAcentral lists this transfer RNA (74 nucleotides) under Methanomicrobium sp. Its description in RNAcentral is "tRNA-Val". It matches the Rfam family "tRNA". From Rfam's summary of the family: Transfer RNA (tRNA) molecules are approximately 80 nucleotides in length. Lineage: Archaea; Methanobacteriati; Methanobacteriota; Methanomicrobia; Methanomicrobiales; Methanomicrobiaceae. The record is from RNAcentral.
GGACCUGUGGUCUAGUUGGUUAGGACGUUGCCUUGACAUGGCAGAGAUCUUGGGUUCGAAUCCCAAUGGGUCCA